RNAcentral lists this long non-coding RNA (407 nucleotides) under Salvia miltiorrhiza (redroot sage). Its description in RNAcentral is "long non-coding RNA (SMIL_LNC001357)". The record is from RNAcentral. Lineage: Eukaryota; Viridiplantae; Streptophyta; Magnoliopsida; Lamiales; Lamiaceae.
CAUCAAGUCAAAUAUUCUAUCAUUUAAUAACAAAUCAUAUAAUAGCACUUUGAUAAUUAUAUCAUCAUAAAUCAUGCUUUCUCAUACGUAAUCCAUUUUCCUCACUUAACUAAUUCAAUCAUUUAAAAUCUCAUGCUUAGUAAUUUAAUAUCUCAAUUAAAUCUCAAACUCAUUUGGUAAAGUAAUUCAUAUACUUAAAUCAUUCUAUAAAAUAAUAAAAAUAAAAAGACUUCAUAAAAGAAAAUAAAUUUAAAAACCCCACAACUAAAUAAAUUAGUCAAGCCCAAUUGAAUUAAAACAAAUAAGGCCCAAAUUCAAUUUAAUUAAAGAAGGGCCCAAGCCCAUCCUUCAUCCUUUAACCUAUCUGCACACACACCAUUUCACAUUCAAACUCACACACACAGCAC